CCUACGGGAGGCUGCAGUGAGGAAUAUUGGUCAAUGGACGAGAGUCUGAACCAGCCAAGUAGCGUGAAGGAUGACUGCCCUAUGGGUUGUAAACUUCUUUUAUCUGGGAAUAAAAUGUUCCACGUGUGGGAUUUUGUAUGUACCAUAUGAAUAAGGAUCGGCUAACCCCGUGCCAGCAGCCGCGGUAAUACGGAGGAUCCGAGCGUUAUCCGGAUUUAUUGGGGUUAAAGGGAGCGUAGAUGGGUUGUUAAGUCAGUUGUGAAAGUUUGCGGGUCAACCGUAAAAUUGCAAUUGAUACUGGCAGUCUUGAGUACAGUUGAGGUAGGCGGAAUUCGUGGUGUAGCGGUGAAAUGCUUAGAUAUCACGAAGAACCCCGAUUGCGAAGGCAGCAUACCGGUGCACAACUGACGCUCAGGCACGAAAGCGUGGGUAUCGAACAGGAUUAGAUACCCCAGUAGUC
This 460-nucleotide ribosomal RNA is filed under the name uncultured bacterium. RNAcentral describes it as "partial 16S ribosomal RNA". It matches the Rfam family "Bacterial small subunit ribosomal RNA", at positions 338 to 795 of the family's 1533-position model. The record is from RNAcentral.